RNAcentral lists this ribosomal RNA (127 nucleotides) under uncultured bacterium. RNAcentral describes it as "partial 16S ribosomal RNA". It matches the Rfam family "Bacterial small subunit ribosomal RNA", at positions 337 to 462 of the family's 1533-position model. The record is from RNAcentral.
UCCUACGGGAGGCAGCAGUAAGGAAUAUUGGUCAAUGGGCGGAAGCCUGAACCAGCCAUGCCGCGUGCAGGAUGACUGCCCUAUGGGUUGUAAACUGCUUUUGUCCAGGAAUAAACCUAGAUACGUG